GGUACCGCGGUGCUGACUGACAGACGGCCGACUGCACGAAACAGGAUGUCACUGACAAGAAGACAGGAGACAGAACCGGAAGUGUCAGAGCUGAAGAUGUUGAGAUUCUAUUUGGGAGAGACGAGGAUGAGGAAUGAGCUCAUUCAUUUUCAGAACAAUUCUCAGCAGUUUUCAUCAUUCAGCACUCAGUGCUUUCACUGAAACAAAUAAAAUAUUCAUGAAGGCUCGA
Molecule: long non-coding RNA, 229 nt
Organism: Austrofundulus limnaeus
Lineage: Eukaryota; Metazoa; Chordata; Actinopteri; Cyprinodontiformes; Rivulidae
Exons: 2
Source: RefSeq, a predicted model, not a curated record